Molecule: ribosomal RNA, 474 nt
Filed under: uncultured organism
Description: partial 16S ribosomal RNA
Rfam family: Bacterial small subunit ribosomal RNA
Source: RNAcentral
GUACACUCCUGCGGGAGGCAGCAGUGGGGAAUUUUGGACAAUGGGCGAAAGCCUGAUCCAGCAAUGCCGCGUGAGUGAAGAAGGCCUUCGGGUUGUAAAGCUCUUUUGUCAGGGAAGAAACGGUGAAAGCUAAUAUCUUUUGCUAAUGACGGUACCUGAAGAAUAAGCACCGGCUAACUACGUGCCAGCAGCCGCGGUAAUACGUAGGGUGCAAGCGUUAAUCGGAAUUACUGGGCGUAAAGCGUGCGCAGGCGGUUUUGUAAGUCUGAUGUGAAAUCCCCGGGCUCAACCUGGGAAUUGCAAUGGAGACUGCAAGGCUAGAAUCUGGCAGAGGGGGGUAGAAUUCCACGUGUAGCAGUGAAAUGCGUAGAUAUGUGGAGGAACACCGAUGGCGAAGGCAGCCCCCUGGGUCAAGAUUGACGCUCAUGCACGAAAGCGUGGGGAGCAAACAGGAUUAGAAACCCGUGUAGUCCC